Molecule: transfer RNA, 75 nt
Filed under: Planctomycetes bacterium GWF2_50_10
Lineage: Bacteria; Pseudomonadati; Planctomycetota
Description: tRNA-Pro
Rfam family: tRNA
About the family: Transfer RNA (tRNA) molecules are approximately 80 nucleotides in length. Their secondary structure includes four short double-helical elements and three loops (D, anti-codon, and T loops). Further hydrogen bonds mediate the characteristic L-shaped molecular structure. tRNAs have two regions of fundamental functional importance: the anti-codon, which is responsible for specific mRNA codon recognition, and the 3' end, to which the tRNAs corresponding amino acid is attached (by aminoacyl-tRNA synthetases). tRNAs cope with the degeneracy of the genetic code in two manners: having more than one tRNA (with a specific anti-codon) for a particular amino acid; and 'wobble' base-pairing, i.e. permitting non-standard base-pairing at the 3rd anti-codon position.
Source: RNAcentral
CGGGGAAUAGCUCAGCUUGGCUAGAGCGCUGCGUUCGGGACGCAGAGGUCGCAGGUUCGAAUCCUGUUUCCCCGA